RNAcentral lists this unclassified non-coding RNA (374 nucleotides) under uncultured Basidiomycota. RNAcentral's name for it is "sequence contains ITS2". The stretch from base 1 to 156 matches the Rfam family "5.8S ribosomal RNA". Lineage: Eukaryota; Fungi; Basidiomycota. The record is from RNAcentral.
AACUUUUAACAAUGGAUCACUUGGUUCUCGCAUCGAUGAAGAACGUGGCAAACUGCGAAAAGUAGUGCGAAUUGCAUAAAUCGAGAGUCAUCGAAUCUUUGAACGCAUCUUGCGCCCUGUUGUUUCACGACGCAGGGCGUGCCUGUUUGAGACGAUUACGGAGGUCGUCUGUGAGGACGGUGUUGGGUGGGCCGAGCACGUGCUUGGACGCCUGAAAUAGAUCAAAAGGGAGGGGACGUACGUGCUCGUCGCCGUGUUGACGCUUUUGCGAAUAUAACGGUAGUAACGCCACGACAAUCCCUCCCUCCAAUCAUAUCCAGAUCAAAUCAGGCACGACUACCCGCUGAACUUAAGCAUAUCAAUAAGCGGAGGCU